AAUAGAUACCCUGGUAGUCCAUGCCGUAAACGUUGGGCACUAGGUGUGGGGACAUUCCACGUUUUCCGCGCCGUAGCUAACGCAUUAAGUGCCCCGCCUGGGGAGUACGGCCGCAAGGCUAAAACUCAAAGGAAUUGACGGGGGCCCGCACAAGCGGCGGAGCAUGCGGAUUAAUUCGAUGCAACGCGAAGAACCUUACCAAGGCUUGACAUGAACCGGAAAAGACCUGGAAACAGGUCCCCCACUUGUGGUCGGUUUACAGGUGGUGCAUGGUUGUCGUCAGCUCGUGUCGUGAGAUGUUGGGUUAAGUCCCGCAACGAGCGCAACCCUCGUUCUAUGUUGCCAGCACGUGAUGGUGGGGACUCAUAGGAGACUGCCGGGGUCAACUCGGAGGAAGGUGGGGACGACGUCAAAUCAUCAUGCCCCUUAUGUCUUGGGCUUCACGCAUGCUACAAUGGCCGGUACAAAGGGUUGCGAUACUGUGAGGUGGAGCUAAUCCCAAAAAGCCGGUCUCAGUUCGGAUUGGGGUCUGCAACUCGACCCA
Molecule: ribosomal RNA, 544 nt
Filed under: uncultured bacterium
Lineage: Bacteria
Description: bacterial SSU rRNA
Rfam family: Bacterial small subunit ribosomal RNA
Source: RNAcentral